AUUUUAUUAGUAGCCCCCACCUUCUACAUAUGGAUAGGGACAUUAGGCCCCAUUGGGUUAUUAUAAAAUGAACAACCCAUACCCCCAUCUAUGGAUGGUGGCUGGAGGGCCACUUUGUCCCACCUGUUUAUUUAAAAAAGUAGCCCCCACCUGCUGACCACAGACGGGGACAAGGCAGGGGGAGGACAUUAGCAUGUCUUCUCUUUCUAAUUAGAAAGCAG
Molecule: non-coding RNA, 221 nt
Organism: Pelobates cultripes (western spadefoot toad)
Lineage: Eukaryota; Metazoa; Chordata; Amphibia; Anura; Pelobatidae
Source: the annotation of a GenBank genome assembly